Molecule: ribosomal RNA, 429 nt
Filed under: Bacteroidota bacterium
Lineage: Bacteria; Pseudomonadati; Bacteroidota
Description: Bacteroidetes bacterium partial 16S ribosomal RNA
Rfam family: Bacterial small subunit ribosomal RNA
Source: RNAcentral
UAGGGAAUCUUCGGCAAUGGGGGGAACCCUGACCGAGCAACGCCGCGUGAGUGAAGAAGGCUUUCGGAUCGUAAAGCUCUGUUGUUAAGGAAGAACGAGUGUGAGAAUGGAAAGUUCAUGCUGUGACGGUACUUAACCAGAAAGGGACGGCUAACUACGUGCCAGCAGCCGCGGUAAUACGUAGGUCCCGAGCGUUGUCCGGAUUUAUUGGGCGUAAAGCGAGCGCAGGCGGUUAGAAAAGUCUGAAGUGAAAGGCAGUGGCUCAACCAUUGUAGGCUUUGGAAACUGUUUAACUUGAGUGCAGAAGGGGGGAGUGGAAUUCCAUGUGUAGCGGUGAAAUGCGUAGAUAUAUGGAGGAACACCGGUGGCGAAGGCGGCUCUCUGGUCUGUAACUGACGCUGAGGCUCGAAAGCGUGGGGAGCGAACAGG